CCAAGGUGUCCUGGAAGCGGCCCGUCCGCCUCACCACGUGGUGAGUUACGGCACUGGUGACGCCUCUCCGCGGGCAACAAACAGCGCGUGUGCUAUACGACUGCCGCCGCCGCCCGCCAGCCCGCCCGGUCGCACAGGCGGGGACCCAGGUUCGAGUCCCCUGCCCGGGGUGGGCGCUGCGCGGGGGCUCCGGGGACGGACGCAGUGGCCUUCUGGGAGAGGGAACUCCUCCGUCCCAAUCAGUGCAGAAGACGAACCCUGCAGCUUGAGCUCACCUCGUCCCCAGAUCCCAGAUCGGAGCUGCUCCCAAGUCCGCACGUUUAGGGGUCCGCCCCCGCCCCCCCAGUGGAAAAUUCCACACGAGGAGGCUUGCGUUCACCCACAAGCCUGUUGCAGCCAACACACACCUGAUCUGUCGGAACACCUGGAUCCCUGUACAGACCAGGUGUCAGUAUGAUACGGGGCGUCGCAUUGGUAGGGAUUUUUUUUUUUUUUUUAAAGAUUACUUAUUUGAAAGGCAGAGUUACAAACAGAGAGAGUCUUCCA
Molecule: long non-coding RNA, 546 nt
Filed under: Oryctolagus cuniculus (rabbit)
Lineage: Eukaryota; Metazoa; Chordata; Mammalia; Lagomorpha; Leporidae
Description: lncRNA (ENSOCUG00000034047.1)
Source: RNAcentral